CACGUAGGGGACGAGCGUUGUCCGGAUUCAUUGGGCGUAAAGCGCGCGUAGGCGGCUCGGAAAGUCGGGCGUGAAAUGCCGGGGCUCAACCCCGGGACUGCGUCCGAUACUUCCGAGCUGGAGGUAGGUAGGGGAGAUCGGAAUUCCUGGUGUAGCGGUGAAAUGCGCAGAUAUCAGGAGGAACACCGGUGGCGAAGGCGGAUCUCU
RNAcentral lists this ribosomal RNA (207 nucleotides) under uncultured bacterium. RNAcentral's name for it is "partial 16S ribosomal RNA". It matches the Rfam family "Bacterial small subunit ribosomal RNA", at positions 524 to 730 of the family's 1533-position model. The record is from RNAcentral.